RNAcentral lists this ribosomal RNA (694 nucleotides) under uncultured bacterium. RNAcentral describes it as "bacterial SSU rRNA". It matches the Rfam family "Bacterial small subunit ribosomal RNA", at positions 140 to 851 of the family's 1533-position model. The record is from RNAcentral.
GGGAUAACAGUUAGAAAUGACUGCUAAUACCGCAUAAGCACACAGAACCGCAUGGUUCGGGGUGAAAAGCCGAGACGGUAUGAGAUGGACCCGCGUCUGAUUAGCUAGUUGGAGGGGUAACGGCCCACCAAGGCAACGAUCAGUAGCCGACCUGAGAGGGUGACCGGCCACAUUGGGACUGAGACACGGCCCAAACUCCUACGGGAGGCAGCAGUGGGGGAUAUUGCACAAUGGGGGAAACCCUGAUGCAGCGACGCCGCGUGAGUGAAGAAGUAUUUCGGUAUGUAAAGCUCUAUCAGCAGGGAAGAAAAAAGACGGUACCUGACUAAGAAGCCCCGGCUAACUACGUGCCAGCAGCCGCGGUAAUACGUAGGGGGCAAGCGUUAUCCGGAUUUACUGGGUGUAAAGGGAGCGUAGACGGCAAUACAAGUCGGAAGUGAAAUACCCGGGCUUAACCUGGGAACUGCUUUGGAAACUGUAUGGCUGGAGUGCUGGAGAGGUAAGCGGAAUUCCUAGUGUAGCGGUGAAAUGCGUAGAUAUUAGGAGGAACACCAGUGGCGAAGGCGGCUUACUGGACAGUAACUGACGUUGAGGCUCGAAAGCGUGGGGAGCAAACAGGAUUAGAUACCCUGGUAGUCCACGCUGUAAACGAUGAAUACUAGGUGUUGGGUGCCAAAGGCUCCCGGUGCCGUCG